UACAGAGGUCCCAAGCGUUGUUCGGAGUCACUGGGCGUAAAGGGUGCGUAGGCGGUCGGGUAAGUCUGAUGUGAAAUCUCACAGCUUAACUGUGAAACUGCAUUGGAUACUAUCCGGCUAGAGGAAUGGAGGGGAGACUGGAAUACUUGGUGUAGCAGUGAAAUGCGUAGAUAUCAAGUGGAACACCAGUGGCGAAGGCGAGUCUCUGGACAUUUCCUGACGCUGAGGCACGAAAGCCAGGGGAGCAAACGGG
RNAcentral lists this ribosomal RNA (253 nucleotides) under uncultured bacterium. Its description in RNAcentral is "partial 16S ribosomal RNA". It matches the Rfam family "Bacterial small subunit ribosomal RNA", at positions 524 to 776 of the family's 1533-position model. The record is from RNAcentral.